UCUGGCUGUUCAUAAGGAAGCCAUUAGCCUGGAACAUAUGCUGGGGCUGUGAAAAAUUAACCCCAGCCGUGUCCAGGCUCCAGCAGAUGGGUGCUGCUCUGCACAAGCUGAUGCAUUUGUUACUGACAUCCCGUCCUGAAGCUGAGGGCAGAAGGCUGAAAGCUGGAUAUGCCCUGGAGAUCAGUCUGUCCUGCCUUCCUCGGGGUUUAUCUUCUUAGGCCUUUCAGAGAUGGAUUUACGGGGGGAAAUCAGGAGGAGUGUAAUGCCCCUCAUCUAAAACAAUUUGCCCCAUCUUCAAACUUUCUGAAACAUUUGACUCACAUUCCUGAGUUAUCAAGACUUCUUCAUUCCGCAGAAUUACUGCAUAUGCCGGUACGUUACUCCUUCAUUCACUGCCUUUUUUAUUCAGAGUUGAUCGCUUUUUCAGAAACGCUAUAGAUGAUGUUACAAUUAGCUUAUUUCACACAGAACUAGCACAUUCAUCUACUCUCUCACUGUAAUUAGAGAGAAAAGUAGCA
Molecule: long non-coding RNA, 518 nt
Filed under: Anser brachyrhynchus (Pink-footed goose)
Lineage: Eukaryota; Metazoa; Chordata; Aves; Anseriformes; Anatidae
Description: lncRNA (ENSABRG00000010348.1)
Source: RNAcentral